UUUUGAAACUUUCAGAACAUUUUAAUGAAAAAGACAGCAAUGUACCCAUUGAACAAGAAAAUUACAUUUCAUUAGAGAAAAAUGUAAGAUUUGUGGAUUUUGUAGAGCCAAGCUCUUUAUGUACAGCAUAUUGCACUAGACAAACAAAUAUGUCCCUCGUUCCCCCUCUCUUUCCCCUUGUGUUUCACGCUGUUCGAAAACUGUGCAGGGCUCUCAGAAGCGUCUCAUAAUGCCGCCUGCAUCCCAAAUGGCUCGAUAUCUUAUAUACUACUUUUGACCAGGGAACAUAGAGCACUGGUCAAAAGUAGUGCACUACAUAGGGUAUAGGGUGCCAUUUUGGACAGACAGGUCUGCUACAUUUAGACUGAGCCUUCCUUCAAAAAACACACCGCCCCGACCGAUGUGGAAUCCUUGAGACAGUUCUGAGAGCUCUAAUGACGUGUUCUAGAAUGAUGUGAUAUCUGAAGAUGGUUCUGAGAGCUCUAAUGAUGUGUUCUAGAAUGAUGUGAUGUGAUAUCUGAAGAUGGUUCUGAGAGCUCUAAUGAUGUGUUCUAGAAUGAUGUGAUGUGAAGGCAAUGCUAAAGAGAGUCCCAAUUCAACAGAGCAGGAGUUAGAUGGAAGUUCACAAUGUUUCAGUUUAUAUAGUAUUUAAAAAAAGAGACAUUGUGUUUUUUCCUCUCAAUUCAUUUACAUUCAAACACAGAUUUCAGGAAUGCUGGGACAUGCAUUUUUACUCCAUAUACAGAAUUAUCAAAUAUCAAAAACAGCCCUUGAACUGAGAACGACACAGCGGACUUAAAUUGGUAAAAACCAAAAAGCAUGUCACAACAUUUAAAAAGCGAUCUUUAAAAAAUAAAAAUAAAAAUCAUGUUUUCGGACUUCAUUGUUACAUUUGUUUUGUUUUUUUACAAAAGUAUACAAAAGUUUUUUUUUCGCUUAGAAAGUUAACAAGUUAAGAAUUAGCUGCAGCGAAUUGUUUUGUUUGUUGAUAUAAAACACAAAUAAUCACAGCACUUAACAGUUAAGAUUCACUCUUUCUUGGGAAAUUCAAAAAACCGAAUGAAUUUUUUAAAAAACUUAAUAUUCAAGAUAUUGAAGGUUGAACAUAUCAUAUAAGUUUUAACCUCGAAGGAGGGUUGAGACAAUGGUUGGUUCUUAUGGAUUUGACGUCAACACCAACCCAUAGGAUGACCACACAACCCCUCCUACUUACAAAUAAUUCUGGACGCCGUGGUGGCUCACUCCUCCUUGUACCCUCAUCCUACAUCGCUACUAGGUCGUGUCACAAACGGCACCCUAUUUUCUAUAUAGUACACUACUUUUGACCAGAGCCCUAUGGGAGCCAUUUGGGACCCCCUAUGGGACCCGGUUAAUAGUAGUGCACUAUAAUGUUGAGUAGGUGCCAUUUGGGACACAAGAAAGCUAGUCUUGUUGAGCUAGGCUGAGUCAGCAUACAACAGAUCUUAAAGACAAAUGGAUCUAGAGAGGUUCAGUACAGGAGUCUGAAGAGUGGGUGCAUAUAAAAACAACAUUACUUCCCAGUGCACGUUGAUUGUCAACAGUCGUUUGGAUAUUUGAGUUUUGGGGUGAUAAGCCGGGAGUGUGUGUGUUUAGAGGGGUCAGGGUUGAGAGGGGUCAGGGUUAAAGGUCAUAGAUUAGGCAUGUGCCCUAGAGGGUGGAUAUGGUUGUGUCCAAAAUGGCACCCUAUUCCCUAUGGGCCCUGGUCAAAUGGCACCCUAUUCCCUAUGGGCUCUGGUCAAAUGGCACCCUAUUCCCUAUGGGCCCUGGUCAAAUGGCACCCUAUUCCCUAUGGGCCCUGGUCAAAUGGCACCCUAUUCCCUACGGGCCCUGGUCAAAUGGCACCCUAUUCCCUAUGGGCCCUGCUCAAAUGUAGUGCACUACAUAGAGAAUAGGGUGCCAUUUGGGACAAAGCCCUUUACUACACAGUGAAGUUUUGGGAUGCACUUAUGGUCAACCAGGCAGCUACUGUGCUACAGGAUGUGUCACAGCUGAGCCUUUAGACUGAUGACCAGACUGAACUAGGAGAGCUGUGACCACCAUUCUAUAGAUAACCAUGACCAGACUGAACUAGGAGAGCUGUGACCACCAUUCUAUAGAUGACCAGACUGAACUAGGAGAGCUGUGACCACCAUUCUAUAGAUAACCACGACCAGACUGAACUAGGAGAGCUGUGACCACCAUUCUAUAGAUAACCAUGACCAGACUGAACUAGGAGAGCUGUGACCACCAUUCUAUAGAUAACCAUGACCAGACUGAACUAGGAGAGCUGUGACCACCAUUCUAUAGAUGACCAGACUGAACUAGGAGAGCUGUGACCACCAUUCUAUAGAUGACCAGACUGAACUAGGAGAGCUGUGACCACCAUUCUAUAGAUGACCAGACUGAACUAGGAGAGCUGUGACCACCAUUCUAUAGAUAACCACGACCAGACUGAACUAGGAGAGCUGUGACCACCAUUCUAUAGAUAACCACGACCAGACUGAACUAGGAGAGCUGUGACCACCAUUCUAUAGAUAACCAUGACCAGACUGAACUAGGAGAGCUGUGACCACCAUUCUAUAGAUAACCAUGACCAGACUGAACUAGGAGAGCUGUGACCACCAUUCUAUAGAUGACCAGACUGAACUAGGAGAGCUGUGACCACCAUUCUAUAGAUAACCAUGACCAGACUGAACUAGGAGAGCUGUGACCACCAUUCUAUAGAUAACCACGACCAGACUGAACUAGGAGAGCUGUGACCACCAUUCUAUAGAUAACCAUGACCAGACUGAACUAGGAGAGCUGUGACCACCAUUCUAUAGAUAACCAUGACCAGACUGAACUAGGAGAGCUGUGACCACCAUUCUAUAGAUAACCACGACCAGACUGAACUAGGAGAGCUGUGACCACCA
This 2912-nucleotide long non-coding RNA is filed under the name Salmo salar (Atlantic salmon). RNAcentral describes it as "lncRNA (ENSSSAG00000083285.1)". Lineage: Eukaryota; Metazoa; Chordata; Actinopteri; Salmoniformes; Salmonidae. The record is from RNAcentral.